ACUUCAAGUCUCCUGAAGGAACGUUGAAGACGACGACGUUGAUAGGUCGGGUGUGUAAGCGCAGCGAUGCGUUGAGCUAACCGAUACUAAUGAACCGUGAGGCUUAACCUU
Molecule: ribosomal RNA, 111 nt
Filed under: Enterobacter cloacae
Lineage: Bacteria; Pseudomonadati; Pseudomonadota; Gammaproteobacteria; Enterobacterales; Enterobacteriaceae
Description: partial 23S ribosomal RNA
Rfam family: Bacterial large subunit ribosomal RNA
Source: RNAcentral